UACGAAGGGAGCUAGCGUUGUUCGGAAUCACUGGGCGUAAAGCGCACGUAGGCGGAUGUGUCAGUCAGAGGUGAAAUCCCGGAGCUCAACUUCGGAACUGCCUUUGAUACAGCACGUCUUGAGUCCGAGAGAGGUGGGUGGAAUUCCUAGUGUAGAGGUGAAAUUCGUAGAUAUUAGGAAGAACACCGGUGGCGAAGGCGGCCCACUGGCUCGGUACUGACGCUGAGGUGCGAAAGCGUGGGGAGCAAACAGG
RNAcentral lists this ribosomal RNA (253 nucleotides) under uncultured bacterium. RNAcentral describes it as "partial 16S ribosomal RNA". It matches the Rfam family "Bacterial small subunit ribosomal RNA", at positions 524 to 776 of the family's 1533-position model. The record is from RNAcentral.